GGGCCGGAGCUCAACAUCUCUAGUGGUGUUAGGACUGCCUGGUCCUCUUAGCAAUCAGGGAGAGAAAGAUGGCUCACACACACACACAAACACUAGGGACUCUCCACGGUGUUGAUUCCUUAUACGACUUGCAAUCUCUGACUCCCGGAAGAGACAAGCUUGUUCCCCUGUCUCAUCCUGUCUGCCGCAGCCUGGCCACUUUCAAGGUUUCUGGCAGUGACCGGAACAAAUGAAGAUGACAAAGACCCAUCUAUGGGCAGCAGGGACACUCAUUCGUGGGCUCCUCUGGCUGACCCUUCCACACACUACGUUUCCAGGAAAAAAAUCCCGCAGAGCAUAACACAUCAGUGUCCUUGACCUUCCGGCAGUUGAGUCAUCACCAGGUCCUUGGCAAAGAGUAUAAUCUAGGACUGCCUGCCUAGGGAUGUGACCACUCACAUGAAUCAACCAUCAAGAAAAUAUCCCACAGACACAACCAUUGGCCAGUCUGAUGGAGAAAUUCAUCAACCGAGGCUUCCUGGAGUGGAAGCCAUUGAUCCAGAGAGCAACAAUGUUUCUUUCAUCUAGUAGAGACUGUUUCAGCCUGGCUUGAGCAGGGUUUUGAUCGUCUUCCGUUGCUGGUAUCAGGGGGAUGUGAGUGCAUGCGUGUGUCUGUGAGUGUGUGUGUGCUAACGUAUGUAUGUGUGU
Mesocricetus auratus (golden hamster) is the source of this 687-nucleotide long non-coding RNA. RefSeq lists it as uncharacterized. The record is from RefSeq and is a predicted model, not a curated record. The transcript has 3 exons. NCBI's taxonomy places the organism in Eukaryota, Metazoa, Chordata, Mammalia, Rodentia, Cricetidae.